GGAUGGAGUGGGUUGACCUAGAAGACCCCACUGUCAUGCUGCUGGGGACAGCGGCUGCCAUUGAGGCUGCAGCCAAGAAGCUGGAGUAGCUGAAACCAAGGGCUAAACCCAAGCAAGAAGACAAGAGCCUGAACUUUGAGGAACAAAUCCUGGAAGCUGCCAAAUCCAUUGCUGCAGCUACAAGCACCCUGGUGAAGUCAGCCUCAGUGGCCCAGUGAGAAUUAGUGGCCCAAGGAAAGGCAUGCAUGGUAGCUGCUGCUACCAACAACCUGUGUGAAGCCACCAAUGCAGCAGUGCAGGGCCAUGCCAGCAAGGAGAAGCCAAGCAGGUGGCUGCCUCCACAUCACAGCUCCUGGUGGCCUGCAAGGUGAAGGCUGACCGUGACUCAGAGGCCAUGAACUGGCUCCAGGCUGCCGGCUAUGCAGUGAAGAGAGCAUCAGACAAUCUGGUGAAGGCAGCACAAAAAGUAGCUGCCUUCCAGGAUCAUGAUGAGACAGUGGUGGUGAAGGAGAAGAUGGUUGGGGGAAUUGCACAGGUGAGGAGUGGGGCCGCUCUCAAUGGAGCAGAGGUGGCUCUGGCUGUCUGCCACCACAGCCUAUGUGCUCCUGUCUCAGGAGCAUGUCCUACCACCCACUGGCACAGGGCACAUCUCUGUAGAGCCUCAAAAAAAUGGUGCAGAUGCAUCCUUCCCACCCAGUGUCAAUUCAGUGCUGUGGCUUUAUCCUUGUACUGCUGUGUGUAGCAGCAGGCACAGCCGGUGACCAUGCAUGCUCCCAGGAGCAUAAUGCCCUGGCUUCUCCUUGGCAUGGUGCCUUCACUAUCCUUGUGUCCAGGACACGUGAAGGGCAGAGCAUUUGGUAAGGGGUGAGAGCUGCCUGGUAUGGGCUGCCACAUAUCCCAGCACUGCCUCCCAGCCACGGGCUUGCAGCUGAGACCCUCCCCAGAGUGUGUGGGGCUGAGCCCCAGGAGCUCUGCUGCUCCCCAUUAUCUCUGGAGGACUGCAGUCCCACUGUAGGGAUAGUAGCCCUCAUGCCUGGGGCUAUGCCAGCCUAGGGAGACUGUGGCUGUGAUGGG
This 1074-nucleotide long non-coding RNA is filed under the name Falco tinnunculus (common kestrel). RNAcentral describes it as "lncRNA (ENSFTIG00000008501.1)". The record is from RNAcentral. Lineage: Eukaryota; Metazoa; Chordata; Aves; Falconiformes; Falconidae.